Molecule: ribosomal RNA, 376 nt
Filed under: Priestia megaterium
Lineage: Bacteria; Bacillati; Bacillota; Bacilli; Caryophanales; Bacillaceae
Description: bacterial SSU rRNA
Rfam family: Bacterial small subunit ribosomal RNA
Source: RNAcentral
GCGUAAGCGCGCGCAGGCGGUUUCUUAAGUCUGAUGUGAAAGCCCACGGCUCAACCGUGGAGGGUCAUUGGAAACUGGGGAACUUGAGUGCAGAAGAGAAAAGCGGAAUUCCACGUGUAGCGGUGAAAUGCGUAGAGAUGUGGAGGAACACCAGUGGCGAAGGCGGCUUUUUGGUCUGUAACUGACGCUGAGGCGCGAAAGCGUGGGGAGCAAACAGGAUUAGAUACCCUGGUAGUCCACGCCGUAAACGAUGAGUGCUAAGUGUUAGAGGGUUUCCGCCCUUUAUUGCUGCACCUAACGCAUUAAGCACUCCGCCUGGGGAGUACGGUCGCAAGACUGAAACUCAAAGGAAUUGACGGGGGCCCCCACAACCGGU